GAUGAACGCUGGCGGCGUGCCUAAUACAUGCAAGUCGAGCGAACGGACGAGAAGCUUGCUUCUCUGAUGUUAGCGGCGGACGGGUGAGUAACACGUGGAUAACCUACCUAUAAGACUGGGAUAACUUCGGGAAACCGGAGCUAAUACCGGAUAAUAUUUUGAACCGCAUGGUUCAAAAGUGAAAGACGGUCUUGCUGUCACUUAUAGAUGGACCCGCGCUGCAUUAGCUAGUUGGUAAGGUAACGGCUUACCAAGGCAACGAUGCAUAGCCGACCUGAAAGGGUGAUAGGCCACACUAGAAAUAGGACACGGUCCAGGCUCCUACGGGAGGCAGCAGUCGGGAAUCUUCCGCAAUGGGCGAAAACCUGACGGAGCAGAGCAGCGUGAGUGAUGAAGGUCUUCGGAUAGUGAAACUCUGUUAUUAGAGAAGAACAUAUGUGUAAGUAACUGUGCACAACUUGACGGUACCUGAUGAGAAAGCCCCGGCUAACUACGUG
This 497-nucleotide ribosomal RNA is filed under the name uncultured bacterium. RNAcentral describes it as "partial 16S ribosomal RNA". It matches the Rfam family "Bacterial small subunit ribosomal RNA", at positions 28 to 507 of the family's 1533-position model. The record is from RNAcentral.